GAUGAACGCUGGCGGCGUGCCUAAUACAUGCAAGUCGAGCGAACGGACUAGAAGCUUGCUUCUCUGAUGUUAGCGGCGGACGGGUGAGUAACACGUGGAUAACCUACCUAUAAGACUGGGAUAACUUCGGGAAACCGGAGCUAAUACCGGAUGAUAUUUUGAACCGCAUGGUUCAAAAGUGAAAGACGGUCUUGCUGUCACUUAUAGAUGGAUCCGCGCUGCAUUAGCUAGUUGGUAAGGUAACGGCUUACCAAGGCAACGAUGCAUAGCCGACCUGAGAGGGUGAUCGGCCACACUGGAACUGAGACACGGUCCAGACUCCUACGGGAGGCAGCAGUAGGGAAUCUUCCGCAAAGGGCGAAAGCCUGAAGGAGCAACGCCGCGUGAGUGAUGAAGGUCUACGGAUCGUAAAACUCUGUUAUUAGGGAAGAACAUAUGUGUAAGUAACUGUGCACAUCUUGACGGUACCUAAUCAGAAAGCCACGGAUAACUACGUG
RNAcentral lists this ribosomal RNA (497 nucleotides) under uncultured bacterium. Its description in RNAcentral is "partial 16S ribosomal RNA". It matches the Rfam family "Bacterial small subunit ribosomal RNA", at positions 28 to 507 of the family's 1533-position model. The record is from RNAcentral.